Molecule: long non-coding RNA, 869 nt
Organism: Bubalus bubalis (water buffalo)
Lineage: Eukaryota; Metazoa; Chordata; Mammalia; Artiodactyla; Bovidae
Exons: 3
Source: RefSeq, a predicted model, not a curated record
CAGCGCCUAGAGAGCGGUCUUUUAGAAUCACUGAGGGGUUGAUGAGGUAAAGAUAUUAGCAGACACCUGUCCAUCUCUUUUUGAUGGCUAAACGAGGCUUGACCUGGGCUGAAAGAGCUGAGAGUAAGGGGGCACUUCUUCAGCUCCCUGGGCCCUAGGAACUGGGACCCUGGAACCCAGUAAAAACUUGUCAUUCCAGAUUUAGAAAUGGCCUGAGCAUAAGCCUGAAGGCAUGGAACUGGUCUGAAGGCUUACACUUCUGCUCCAUCAAAAACCCUUCUCCAGGAAGAGCCAGAAUCUUUUAAAAAGCACUUGGCAUUCAGGGUCUUAGUUCCCCGACCAGGGAUCAAACCACUGGACUGCCAGAUCAUCCAGAUUUGAACUUGAGGGGCACUGCUGGCUUGAACAUGACCCAGAAACAAAAGACAUACCUCUCAAAGGUCAUCCACCAAACAAAAAAUGAGAAACACUGCAUGCUGGGUUUUUUUCCUCCUCCGGAGUGAGUCUGUGCUCUAACUUUGGAUUUUCAAUACGUUGUUAUCCUGUCUAUGUGAACCUCCCAUUUUCCUCUCCUGUCUUUUGAUUCAUUUGAUCUGUAACUCUUUACAUUCAAUUAACCGCUCACGUCUUUGAUGUUUCCUUUUGCCAUGUGGUAAUUCUCAGACUAUCCUGAAGUGAACUAUUAGGAAGUGCAAGCUUUGGAAAUGAGGCCAAGAUAAAAGGAAAAGGAAAAUACUCUUGAGUUCCCUUCUUUCCCUUAUGAAAUAAAGCAGAUUUAAACUGUACUCUCCCCCCACUCCCCUCUUUUGGACUGUUAACUGUGUCAUUGGUUUUCAAUAAACAGGACUGCCAAACUCACCAAAAAAAAA